UACGGGGGGGGCAAGCGUUGUUCGGAAUUACUGGGCGUAAAGGGUCUGUAGGUGGCUCGCUAAGUCAGACGUGAAAUCCCUCAGCUUAACUGGGGAACUGCGUCUGAGACUGGCAAGCUUGAGUGCAGGAGAGGAACGCGGAAUUCCAGGUGUAGCGGUGAAAUGCGUAGAUAUCUGGAGGAACACCGGUGGCGAAGGCGGCAUCCUGGACCAACACUGACACUGAGGAGCGAAAGCCAGGGGAGCAAACGGG
Molecule: ribosomal RNA, 253 nt
Filed under: uncultured bacterium
Lineage: Bacteria
Description: partial 16S ribosomal RNA
Rfam family: Bacterial small subunit ribosomal RNA
Source: RNAcentral